Molecule: long non-coding RNA, 1134 nt
Organism: Jatropha curcas
Lineage: Eukaryota; Viridiplantae; Streptophyta; Magnoliopsida; Malpighiales; Euphorbiaceae
Source: RefSeq, a predicted model, not a curated record
AGAACGAUGGUCAGAGGACAAAGAAAAAAUUAGGUUCCCUAAUAUACUACUUACUAACAAAACCAGUGUAUUUAGAAAAAGAAACAGAAAACAAAAAAAAGAAAUUCAAAAUCAAAGAAUCAUUUGUUAAAGAGAAAGAGGAAGUCGCCGGCUAGGGUUUGCCAUAAAGCAAAGGAGAACGAUGUCAUCUUCGAGUGCGACUGACAGUGAUUAGGAGUGCGAGGUACCUAAACAAGAUCUGCAGAUCUGGAAAAAGAGUUGGCGUUAGUUAGUAACAGUAGAAGAAAAGGAUGAAAACGAAGAAGAAGAAAAGUGUCCAUAAUUAUGCUCUAUGCUUGUGUUGGGCCUAAAACUAUGCCUCAUUUACAGGGCUUGAUUACUGGCUUUAUUCUCUUGGGCUCAUCAUUACAUGUGCCACAUGGGCCCAUGCUUUCUGAAUCGAUCUGAAAUGGACACUUAGACUCGAAGAAUACAAGAUAGGGUAAACAAACAUUUCUCUUCUCUGCGAUGUAAAAAAGAGAGAGAACAGAGGGAAGCGUAGGCGAGGGAUUUUGCUUCGUAUCAGAAAGUAAAGGGAGAUAGAAUUCAUUGGAAGCUUUUGGCAUGGGCGAUAUGGGCAAGAUGAAAAUCUCUGUGAAUCAUCUUACCCACACCCCCCAUACCGAUGGUUUUCAAUAAUUCAUCCCUUUCCUUCUCUUUUCACUUACCGUAUCCGAUCAAAAGCUUCAAAAACUACAAUAUCUAGCGUUUUAUGAGAUAUAUGUCAUUAUCUCAUAACCAAGCACCAAUCCAAUUUGCAAAACUACUUCGGUUUGCUCAGCCAUGCAACCGUUAAUCUGAUUUAGGAUCGAGCGGAUUUUUUUUCAACUGUUAAUCUUUAUAGACUCAAAUUUGAGUUGAAGUUCAUAUCACGGGCUUGAAAUACUGACUUAAAGCUCCGACGCUGAAUAUAGAUAAAUUUGAGUAAGUGCUCAUCUCGUUUGUUUAUUUCUCGAGUUUGAUCAUUAAAUACUUUUUCAAAUUGAAUCUCUAGCAUUUCGCAAAUGAGUUAAUUUAUUUGGGGUCCUAAUCUUAUGAUUGAAAAAUUUGAACUACAUGUAUAUUUAUUAUAAGAGAACUUUAAUGCGGGACUAA